Molecule: ribosomal RNA, 484 nt
Filed under: uncultured bacterium
Lineage: Bacteria
Description: partial 16S ribosomal RNA
Rfam family: Bacterial small subunit ribosomal RNA
Source: RNAcentral
AUUGAACGCUGGCGGCAUGCUUUACACAUGCAAGUCGAACGGCAGCGCGGGCUUCGGCCUGGCGGCGAGUGGCGAACGGGUGAGUAAUGCAUCGGAACGUCCCCAGUAGUGGGGGAUAGCCCGGCGAAAGCCGGAUUAAUACCGCAUACGACCUGAGGGUGAAAGCGGGGGACCGAAAGGCCUCGCGCUAUUGGAGCGGCCGAUGUCGGAUUAGCUAGUUGGUGGGGUAAAGGCUUACCAAGGCGACGAUCCGUAGCUGGUCUGAGAGGACGACCAGCCACACUGGGACUGAGACACGGCCCAGACUCCUACGGGAGGCAGCAGUGGGGAAUUUUGGACAAUGGGGGCAACCCUGAUCCAGCCAUGCCGCGUGCGGGAAGAAGGCCUUCGGGUUGUAAACCGCUUUUGUUCGGGAAGAAAUCCUCUGGGCUAAUACCCCGGGGGGAUGACGGUACCGGAAGAAUAAGCACCGGCUAACUACGUG